GGCAAUGUGGUGUAAUGGCUUGAAGGUUAGACUAUGACUUUGGAGACCAGGGUUUGAAUCCCAGCUCUGCCA
Molecule: non-coding RNA, 72 nt
Organism: Phrynosoma platyrhinos (Desert horned lizard)
Lineage: Eukaryota; Metazoa; Chordata; Lepidosauria; Squamata; Phrynosomatidae
Source: the annotation of a GenBank genome assembly